RNAcentral lists this ribosomal RNA (439 nucleotides) under uncultured bacterium. RNAcentral's name for it is "partial 16S ribosomal RNA". It matches the Rfam family "Bacterial small subunit ribosomal RNA", at positions 339 to 795 of the family's 1533-position model. The record is from RNAcentral.
CUACGGGGUGCUCCAGUGGGGAAUAUUGCACAAUGGGCGCAAGCCUGAUGCAGCGACGCCGCGUGAAGGAUGAAGUAUUUCGGUAUGUAAACUUCUAUCAGCAGGGAAGAAAAUGACGGUACCUGACUAAGAAGCCCCGGCUAACUACGUGCCAGCAGCCGCGGUAAUACGUAGGGGGCAAGCGUUAUCCGGAUUUACUGGGUGUAAAGGGAGCGUAGAUGGCGUGGCAAGUCUGAAGUGAAAGCCCGGGGCUCAACCCCGGGACUGCUUUGGAAACUGUCAUGCUAGAGUGCAGGAGGGGCAGGCGGAAUUCCUAGUGUAGCGGUGAAAUGCGUAGAUAUUAGGAGGAACACCAGUGGCGAAGGCGGCCUGCUGGACUGUAACUGACAUUGAGGCUCGAAAGUGUGGGGAGCAAACAGGAUUAGAUACCCGUGUAGUC